RNAcentral lists this long non-coding RNA (237 nucleotides) under Homo sapiens (human). RNAcentral describes it as "non-protein coding lnc-C9orf57-4:4". Lineage: Eukaryota; Metazoa; Chordata; Mammalia; Primates; Hominidae. The record is from RNAcentral.
UUUGACUGCCGAUGUGGAAAUUUGUUUUGUGGACUUCACCGUUACUCUGACAAGCACAACUGUCCGUAUGAUUACAAAGCAGAAGCUGCAGCAAAAAUCAGAAAAGAGAAUCCAGUUGUUGUGGCUGAAAAAAUUCAGAGAAUAUAAAUUACUUCUUGUGAAGAGACUGAAACUUUGUUUUUAUUUUAAUAUAUCGUAGGAAAACAUUAAAGAGCAGAUGCAUGGCCAUUUUUCUUU